GCGGGUGGCUCAGUGGAAGAGCACUUGCCUAGUAUGCGUGAGGCACUGGGUUCUACCCUCAGUACCACG
This 69-nucleotide transfer RNA is filed under the name Marmota monax (woodchuck). RNAcentral describes it as "tRNA.Thr". Lineage: Eukaryota; Metazoa; Chordata; Mammalia; Rodentia; Sciuridae. The record is from RNAcentral.